UGACAGUACUCCUACGGGGAGGCAGCAGUGGGGGGAAUAUUGCACAAUGGGCGCAAGCCUGAUGCAGCCAUGCCGCGUGUGUGAAGAAGGCCUUCGGGUUGUAAAGCACUUUCAGUCGUGAGGAAGGUAGUGUAGUUAAUAGCUGCAGUAUUUGACGUUAGCGACAGAAGAAGCACCGGCUAACUCCGUGCCAGCAGCCGCGGUAAUACGGAGGGUGCGAGCGUUAAUCGGAAUUACUGGGCGUAAAGCGCAUGCAGGUGGUUUGUUAAGUCAGAUGUGAAAGCCCGGGGCUCAACCUCGGAAUAGCAUUUGAAACUGGCAGACUAGAGUACUGUAGAGGGGGGUAGGAAUUUCAGGUGUAGCGGUGAAAUGCGUAGAGAUCUGAAGGAAUACCGGUGGCGAAGGCGGCCCCCUGGACAGAUACUGACACUCAGAUGCGAAAGCGUGGGGAGCAAACAGGAUUAGAUACCCUGGUAG
RNAcentral lists this ribosomal RNA (477 nucleotides) under uncultured bacterium. RNAcentral describes it as "bacterial SSU rRNA". It matches the Rfam family "Bacterial small subunit ribosomal RNA", at positions 328 to 793 of the family's 1533-position model. The record is from RNAcentral.